GUGGGGAAUCUUAGACAAUGGGGGCAACCCUGAUCUAGCCAUGCCGCGUGAGUGAUGAAGGCCUUAGGGUCGUAAAGCUCUUUCGCUGGGGAAGAUAAUGACGGUACCCAGUAAAGAAACCCCGGCUAACUCCGUGCCAGCAGCCGCGGUAAUACGGAGGGGGUUAGCGUUGUUCGGAAUUACUGGGCGUAAAGUGCGCGUAGGCGGAUUGGAAAGUUGGGGGUGAAAUCCCGGGGCUCAACCCUGGAAUGGCCUUCAAAACUCCCAGUCUUGAGGUCGAGAGAGGUGAGUGGAAUUCCGAGUGUAGAGGUGAAAUUCGUAGAUAUUCGGAGGAACACCAGUGGCGAAGGCGGCUCACUGGCUCGAUACUGACGCUGAGGUGCGAAAGCGUGGGGAGCAAACAGGAUUAGAUACCCGUGUAGUCC
Molecule: ribosomal RNA, 425 nt
Filed under: uncultured bacterium
Lineage: Bacteria
Description: partial 16S ribosomal RNA
Rfam family: Bacterial small subunit ribosomal RNA
Source: RNAcentral